Small nuclear RNA from Sciurus vulgaris (Eurasian red squirrel), 107 nucleotides. The record is from Ensembl. NCBI's taxonomy places the organism in Eukaryota, Metazoa, Chordata, Mammalia, Rodentia, Sciuridae.
GUGCUCACUUUAACAACAUGUGUACUGAAAUUGCGACCAUACAGAGAAGAUUAGCAUGGUCCCUGCACAAGGAUGACAUGCAAAUUUAUAAAGCAUUCCAUAUCUUU